AAUGAAUUGCCUGAAAAAAGGGUUAACCUUGAUAGGGUAAAUCAUAUAAUUAAACAUUAUAUUCAUUA
This 68-nucleotide transfer RNA is filed under the name Megaselia scalaris. Its description in RNAcentral is "tRNA-Ile". The record is from RNAcentral. Lineage: Eukaryota; Metazoa; Arthropoda; Insecta; Diptera; Phoridae.